This 1095-nucleotide long non-coding RNA is filed under the name Papio anubis (olive baboon). Its description in RNAcentral is "lncRNA (ENSPANG00000037022.1)". Lineage: Eukaryota; Metazoa; Chordata; Mammalia; Primates; Cercopithecidae. The record is from RNAcentral.
UAGCAUUUUGGACCUAAAUUCUAAAAAGGAACUUGCUCAUUUUUAAUUGGGUUAUUGGGCUUUUUGCUCUUGAGUUACAGGAGUUCAUUAUAUAUCUUGGAAAUUAAUGUUUGUCAAAUAUAUGUUUGCAAAUAUUUUUCAUUCCAUAGGUUGCCUCAUCACUCUGUUGAUGGGCUAAAAACCUGAAUAGCCAUUUGUCCAAAGAAGACAUACAAGUUGCCAACAGACAAAUGAAAAAAUGCUCAACAUCACUAAUCAUCAGGGAAAUGCAAAUCAAAACCAAAAUUCACCAGUGAUUGCGCUCAUUUAUAAAAGCAUCCAAAACAAAAUUGAACCCCAAGGCUGAUAUGCUAUAAAGAUGCUGAUCAGAUCGGAGCAGAAUGGACCAUGCUUUGGGGCUUGCUCAGCUAAAGAUGGUUCUAGAAGACUGAUGACUUUAUAGACACAAUUACAAACACCACAGCUCUGUCAGAUGAAUGGAAACUCAUGAAAUAUGAUCUGGCCCUUUAUUAAGUAAAGAAUGGCAUUUUGUAAAAUACUUCUUAAGAUUCAGUAAUUUUUUGAAGGUAAUUAAUUUCCCCCCAUUCUUUGGCAGAAGAUAUAAUCAAACAACCUUUCAAGAAAGAACAAUCCAAUAGUAUGUUUAUAAAAUAGUUAUAUAAAACAAAGACUAAUUGAUUUUUUAUGGCUCAAACUAAUAGGAAUGAACCUUGUCAACACUAUGUAAUUGUUAUCCAUAAUCAGCGGAAGUCAUAAUCAAUAAGAAAUUAGAAAUAUGUUAAUUUUUUCUGGAGUUCCUCUCCGAAAAGAGGUUGGAUGUAAGAAAACAACUUGGAAGUUUUUUUGUGUUUUGUUUUGUUUUCAGUAAUACAAAUAGCUAAAUAUGUAGUAACAGUGAGACAAUAUAUUAAAAAUAAGACUGGUUUUCAAUUAGAGAUUAAUGCCCAUUUAUCAGAGAUGGUGUUAGUCCAUAUGAUCAGGGAUGAUUAGACUUGCUGUUGGUCAUUAUGUUCUAGCAUGUCCCAUGAGAUUUCAGAUUCAUAUUUUAUUAUAAUAAGACUUUGAAUUUGCAUUUCUGCAGAUACUUUUUGCUAA